AGUCAAAGUUGUAAAAGAUCUGCAAGGCUUUUUUGCAUAUCGGUUCCACCAGAGCAUGAAGGGAGCUGGAACAAAAGAUCAGCAUUUAAUACGACUCUUAGUGAGCCGUUCUGAGAUUGACCUGGGUAGGAUCAAAGAAGAGUUUAUGAAGCUAUACAGUAAGACUCUGGCCAGCUUCAUCAAGGGUGACACGAGCGGGGACUACAGAAAGAUGUGUCUCGGCCUUCUCGGAGAGAGUGCGUAACUCACACCACCAGCACUCGCACCGGGUGCGAGUUCAGGAGGUGGCGAGUGAGUGCUUGCAAUCAGUGAACAUUUAGGUGCCUGGGCUCCUGAAUCUGGCUCAGCUAUCUGUGUCUAUCAGCAGGCCCAUCAUAGAUCAUUUUUAUAUGUAUAGGUGUUGUAAUUGUUCUUCAGUCAGUGAACAUUUAAGUGCCUGGGCUUCAGAACCUAGCUCAGCUAUCUGCGUCUAUCAGCAGGCCCAUCAUAGAUCAUUUUUAUAUGUAUAGGUGUUGUAAUUGUUCUUCAGUCAGUGAACAUUUAGGUGCCUGGGCUUCAGAACCUAGCUCAGCUAUCUGCGUCUAUCAGCAGGCCCAUCAUAUAUCAUUUUUAUAUUUAUAGGUGUAGUAAUUGUUCUUCUUACACACCCGUUUGUGACAACAUUAUUUGUUACUUUUAAUAACACAUACUGUUAACACACAUACGUGUGAUAGCAGGCCUCACGCGAGGUCAAAAUCAUAGAACAAAGUCACUUCUCUCUGACACUUUUGAGAGGGCGAAGUUUUUACCAGGAGGGAGACAUGACUUUUUAAUGUAACCCCCCCCCCCCAAUACGCAAAAAGAGUUAUAUUAACCCAAUACAGUCAAACCUGUAUUAAACGGCGACACAUGUGGGUAGACAAAAGUGACUGCUUAAGACAAGUCGCUGAUGAAUACAGGUGCAACUUUUACAUUCUGAAAACAAAUUUCCUUUCUUUUUUACUGUCAGUACUGCUAAUUGAUGGAAGUGCUCUAAAGUUUUCUAAAAAUCACAUUUCCACAUGUUGCCUUCUUCAAAAACAACAAAAUGUAACUGAAAAACACUAAUUUAACUGUUUGGAAUUCAUUAUCUCCAAAGUUUGUCCAUCUCUUUUCAUUUAAUUAUUGGACUGCACGCAUGCGCAGCAUUCAGUCUCCAUGAGCCUUUACUAUCAUUUUAAAAUUGGAGUCUGUGUAGGGACAUUGUGAUGCCAUGAUACACCCAACCACCAAUAUCCCUCCUGCCCCAGCAUUGGUUACUUGCGAUGUCGGAGAUUAAGUCCGGGGUGGGCGUGCCUGAACCUUCGGGACAUAGGCAUGUUAAUAGAGUUCCCUUCCAUUACUCCAAUAUCAUCUACAACAGUCCUGAAUACAAAAGGAAAUCAUCUCUCCCUUUUUUUCUUUUUUUAAAAAUGUUUUAUUAAACUAGAUUCAUACUUCAUCGCUGACUCUUUCCUGGCGAAUUAUUGACUUGCCCAGUUCUGCUUCUGUUAAACCUAAUCCUCAUUAUUUCAGUGAAUUCAGUUUUAACACAGUUCAUAUUACAUUUUUGUGUGCGUUCUCAUUCAAGACUUUUUCAUUUACAAUGUGUCGACUUAAUAAAUAAAGUAAAGAUCAGUUUCGCAUGAGGUUAGCGAUCAAAGAAUGAAUUGACCUUUAGAUGAAGAAAUUGAUUUAUAUGUAUAAAGUAACUAAAGACCUUUUAAAAUGCUUGAUAUUUUCAUCGUAUUUCUCUUGCCAAAGACACCCACAACCCAAUUCUAUAUUUAUGCAUAGUUUCAUUUGACUAAUUAAUGCAUAUUUAUUACUAUUGUUGACAUUCCUGUUAAUUUUUUCUAUAAAAGUGUUAACAUUUUUAGAUUAUAUAUAUGUAAAUAUAGACAUUAAACAUAUAUUUAGACUUUUAUUUUAUCUUUAAAAAUUAACAAGGUUGUUUCUUAGUCCAUUUUAUUUGGGGAGGGUUUUUUGUUUUUCUUUCUUCUCUUUUUUGUUGUAAAAUACUGCCUUAUAACAAACGUUUUCCCCAGGGUACGGGCUCCAAGAUGGACUUGUAUACAGUCUAAUAUUUCUAAAGCUCAGAUUAUUGAAUUCCCUAUAAAUUUGUACUCACUUAUAAAUUAUAGAGUUUGUUUUUGUUUGUGGCUUAUGCUAAUCUAAAACUACCAUCUGCCAGCAGAAAGUUGGCCAACUCGAUGGUUGCAUUGUAAUUCCCCCAAUUCCCAACUUACAACUAACAACUAAUGGGAUAUACUACGAGAAUAGAAUUGUAAGAGCACGACUAGCAACUGGAUAGUCAUGACAGUCGUGAUAGUUGUGACAGCAGAAAGUUGGCCAACUUUGUGCUGGCAGUUGGUAGUCUGACACUAGCAUUAACCAUGACUCUGUGACUACGAAAUUGAUGAAUUCUGAUUGCUAUGUGACAAAAGAUUAGGAAGAUUAUUAAAGAAAUAAAUGUUUGUAUCCA
Long non-coding RNA from Gigantopelta aegis, 2482 nucleotides. RefSeq lists it as uncharacterized. NCBI's taxonomy places the organism in Eukaryota, Metazoa, Mollusca, Gastropoda, Neomphalida, Peltospiridae. The record is from RefSeq and is a predicted model, not a curated record. The transcript is spliced from 2 exons.